RNAcentral lists this unclassified non-coding RNA (213 nucleotides) under Hevea brasiliensis (rubber tree). The record is from RNAcentral. Lineage: Eukaryota; Viridiplantae; Streptophyta; Magnoliopsida; Malpighiales; Euphorbiaceae.
GGGUUUCACCAAUCUUUGAGCAACUCACCAGCUACAUCUUUAUAGCUAAUUUUCUUUUUCUUUUUAGGACUGGGAUUAGUAUCUGCAUCUGGCUUGUCGUCUUUUACAAGAGUGUCUAUGCUUCUUGUUGGCUUACUAUCCAAGUGGGGUAUCAUAUGCAAUAGCAUAGCUUGGACUGGAUCAACAGGGUCUUCCAGCUUUUCAUCCACCUUG